RNAcentral lists this long non-coding RNA (916 nucleotides) under Homo sapiens (human). RNAcentral describes it as "HSALNT0297916". Lineage: Eukaryota; Metazoa; Chordata; Mammalia; Primates; Hominidae. The record is from RNAcentral.
GAAAUGGGCUGAGUCCCUCUUGCUCACCCUUGACUUGGAAAAACCAGUUUCUCUUUUAUUGUCUGUUACUAAUCUCUAUUCUAAAAAUUCAGCUCAAUUCUCAACCAUACUCCAAACUCUCUCUUUUCCAGCUACCUUUACUCCCUCUCCUUCAAUUCCACUUUCCUCUGCUUACUUUUUUUUUUUUUCUGACAGGGUCUCACUUUGUCGCCCGGGCAGGAGUGCAGUGGCUCAAUCUUGGGCUCACUGCAGCCUCAACCUCCCAGAGGCGGGGUUUCACCAUGUUGCCCAGACUGGUCUUGAACUCCUGAGCUUAAGCAAUCCACCUGCCUCGGCCUCCCAAAGUGUUGGGAUCACAGGCGUGAGCCACCGCAUCCGGCCUCAUGUUCUUUUUCAUUAAAGAGAGAAAUCAACUAUUCAGGACCGGCCCCCACCUUUCCUCAGGAGUCAUUUCUGUUCCGCACAGGCCUGCUGAACUGGGUGCUUUAUAUAGGACACUGUCAUCUCUCAAGUACCCAUCUUGGAGGGUACGGACCCCACAUGAGGGUGAGGCUCUCUGCACACUCCAGAAUUUCAGUGGAGUGAAGUUCAGGAGGCAUGGAGCUGACAACCAUGAGGCCUCGGCAGCCACCGCCACCACCGCCGCCGCCACCACCGUAGCAGCAGCAGCAGCAGCAGCAGCAGCAGCAGCAGCAGCAAGAGUAACUCUGACUUAGGAAUAGAGACAGCCAGAGAGAAAUGUGAUCAAUGAAGGAGACAUCUGGAGUGUGCGUGCUUCUUCAGAGGGACGGGUGAUGGGCAGAUUGGAAAAAGCACCGCAGAUGGGAACCUUAAUCUUUCUUUUCUAAAAUUGAUGCUAUGAAAAUUUGCGUUUUCUGUAACUUGUAAAAACUAAAAGUUGCUUGUCUACUGAAAA